Molecule: ribosomal RNA, 253 nt
Filed under: uncultured bacterium
Lineage: Bacteria
Description: partial 16S ribosomal RNA
Rfam family: Bacterial small subunit ribosomal RNA
Source: RNAcentral
UACAGAGGGGGCAAGCGUUGUUCGGAAUUACUGGGCGUAAAGGGCGCGCAGGCGGUCUGGUAAGUUUGGAGUGACAGUGUUCGGCUUAACUGAGCAAGGCCUUCGAAAACUGCUAGACUUGAGCACUCAAGAGGGACAUAGAAUUCCGGGUGGAGUGGUGAAAUGCGUAGAUAUCCGGAGGAAUACCAAAGGCGAAGGCAGUGUCCUGGGGAGUGUCUGACGCUCAGGCGCGAAAGCUAGGGGAGCGAACAGG